This 510-nucleotide ribosomal RNA is filed under the name uncultured bacterium. RNAcentral describes it as "partial 16S ribosomal RNA". It matches the Rfam family "Bacterial small subunit ribosomal RNA", at positions 29 to 523 of the family's 1533-position model. The record is from RNAcentral.
AACGAACGUUAGCGGCGCGCCUAACACAUGCAAGUCGAACGCGACAGGGGCAACUCUGUUAAGUGGCGCACGGGUGAGUAACACGUAGGUAAUCUCCCCCCGAGUGGUGGAUAACCUUCCGAAAGGAGGGCUAAUACAGCAUAAGACCACGGCUUCGAAAGGAGCUGAGGUCAAAGCGGAGGAUCGCAAGACUUCGCGCUUGGGGAUGAGCCUGCGGCCCAUCAGGUAGUUGGCGGGGUAACGGCCCACCAAGCCUAAGACGGGUAGCUGGUCUGAGAGGAUGAUCAGCCACACUGGAACUGAGACACGGCCCAGACUCCUACGGGAGGCAGCAGUGGGGAAUCUUGCGCAAUGGACGAAAGUCUGACGCAGCGACGCCGCGUGGGUGAUGAAGGCCUUCGGGUUGUAAAGCCCUGUGGGGAGGGACGAAUAAGUUUCAGCUAAUACCUGAAGCGAUGACGGUACCUCCUUAGCAAGCACCGGCUAACUCUGUGCCAGCCGCCGCCGUAA